UCGAGGGAAUACGCAAGAUUUUUACAGAAGGUCAAGUGCGGAAAAUCAUGUCACCUGGAAGAAUCCAGUGGAAAUGGAAAGACAUAUCGAGCGCAAUAUGUCUGCAUGCAGCAGGGCCCAGGGCGUACAAUCACCUUUAUAAAAAGGACUUUCCGCUACCGCACCCCUCAACUCUGCAACGCUGGUGCGCAAAAAUAAAAAUUAGCGAGGGGAUACUUACAUCCUCGCUCGAUUUCAUGCGGCAUACAACUGAUUUGGCACCUGAAGAAAAAAUCUGUGUGCUCGCAUUUGAUGAGAUGAAGGUAGCGGAAACAUAUGAGUUCGACCCUGUCGGUGACAAAGUUAGGAAACCUGCGAAUUACGUGCAGGUCAUGAUGGCUCGAGGGCUUAAAAAGUCUUGGAAGCAACCAGUCUUUUAUGACUUCGACUGCAAAAUGACAGAAGAACUUUUGGCUGAAGUUAUUAAAAAACUUCACAAUGUUGGAUUCCCGGUAGUGGCUAUUGUCUGUGACAUGGGGCCAGUGAAUCGUAAGUUGUGGAAAAAUUUAGGUGUUACCACAGGUAAGUAAAUACAAUGUUCUAACACAAUGUAACACCAAUUUAACACCACACAACGCCACACUCCAUACAAAUUUGAGGACGAUUCAUAUCUCUUACGAAAGGAAUUUAAUAAAAGGUUAAACCAUGGUUUCCCAACCCUGUGUGUGCAGAGGAAAAAGUGUUCGUUUUUGCUGAUGCCCUACAUCUCUUAAAAUUGAUAAGAAAUCAUUUUUUGGACAGUGGUGUAGUUUAUGAAAACACCAUUGUUUCUUCACGAACAAUCGCGGAUUUGCUUAAGCUUACAGCAACGUCAGAUGUUUCCAUCACAUUUAAAAUAAAUGAUGAACAUCUCUCAGUAAAAGGGUCAGGAAGGCAAAAAGUGAAAUUAGCAGCCCAACUUUUUUCUAAUACAACUGCGAAUGCUGUUCGUAGAUGCUACUCGAUUGGAAUGGAAGUCUACAAUCCAACCAAUACGGCAGA
Long non-coding RNA from Calliphora vicina (urban bluebottle blowfly), 1020 nucleotides. RefSeq lists it as uncharacterized. Lineage: Eukaryota; Metazoa; Arthropoda; Insecta; Diptera; Calliphoridae. The record is from RefSeq and is a predicted model, not a curated record. The transcript has 3 exons.